CUUGUCGGGUAAGUUCCGACCCGCACGAAAGGCGUAACGAUUUGGGCACUGUCUCAACGAGAGACUCGGUGAAAUCAUAGUACCUGUGAAGAUGCAGGUUACCCGCGACAGGACGGAAAGACCCCGUGGAGCUUUACUGUAGCCUGAUAUUGAAAUUCGGCACAGCUUGUACAGGAUAGGUAGGAGCCUUUGAAACGUGAGCGCUAGCUUACGUGGAGGCGCUGGUGGGAUACUACCCUAGCUGUGUUGGCUUUCUAACCCGCACCACUUAUCGUGGUGGGAGACAGUGUCAGGCGGGCAGUUGGACUGGGGCGGUCGCCUCCUAAAAGGUAACGGAGGCGCUCAAAGGUUCCCUCAGAAUGGUUGGAAAUCAUUCAUAGAGUGUAAAGGCAUAAGGGAGCUUGACUGCGAGACCUACAAGUCGAGCAGGGUCGAAAGACGGACUUAGUGAUCCGGUGGUUCCGCAUGGAAGGGCCAUCGCUCAACG
This 487-nucleotide ribosomal RNA is filed under the name Acinetobacter baumannii. Its description in RNAcentral is "bacterial LSU rRNA". It matches the Rfam family "Bacterial large subunit ribosomal RNA", at positions 1968 to 2454 of the family's 2925-position model. Lineage: Bacteria; Pseudomonadati; Pseudomonadota; Gammaproteobacteria; Moraxellales; Moraxellaceae. The record is from RNAcentral.